Molecule: transfer RNA, 66 nt
Filed under: Trachys auricollis
Lineage: Eukaryota; Metazoa; Arthropoda; Insecta; Coleoptera; Buprestidae
Description: tRNA-Ser
Source: RNAcentral
AAAUAAGUGAUACAAAAAGGGGCUUCUAACCUUAUUUUUUAGCAGUGAAACUCUGUUAUUAUUUUU